GCCCUCUCAUUGUUUCUCCGUUCCCUCUGCUUUCCCUGUACUCGUGCAAGUACAGAAGAUUGAGUGUUUAGUGAGGAUCUCUUUCUCUCUCCUCCAUGAGCAGCGUACUCUGAGCUUUCUUUCUCUUCUUGAUUUCUUGUUUUCCCUCUUCAUUCCCUUUCAUUUCUACUUUGAUUGAUCUUAAUUUGAUACUUUGUGGUUAAAUUUUGAUUUCGCAACUUCAUACUUUGUGGGUUAGGGUUUUCUUCUUCCGAUUGAACAAAUUUUCCCCUUUUUUCAUAGCCAUGAGAUGAAGUAGAUUCCAGCAACGCCGUUACCGCUACCGUCGGCGAAAUCAGUAUUUUAGUCUACUCUCGACAUUGAAAGGUAGAUGUGCUUGGAUCUACAUACAGACGUUUGACUCUGUUUUGCCAGAAGCAUUCAGAAUUGCAGAACAAGAAGCUCGAGAUGGUGGAAGAUUUCAGCUUGCAUCCUUUUGGAAUCCAGGCAUCCAGCUCUCAUAAAUUCCGGAAGCUGCUCCUGUUAUUUUUGAGCCAUCUUGACAUGCUGGGUUUGGAUCCUUGUAAAGCUCAUAAAUGUUGCUGCUUCCUCGUUCAACUCUGAAAUUAUCUUCAGGCACUUGAAUUCCUCUGGAUCAACAAGUAGGGUUUUGUCUCUGUCCUUCCAUCCUAUCAACUUUAUACAAUAAUGGUCUUUAGUACAAUAGUUUUAUAAAAUGCCAAGCAAGUAACAGUUCAAUGUUCUGGCUGGCUGCGUGCAGGCUUGGUGUGGGUGAAAUUGUUUUGUGUAUUUUUUAUUCUGUGAUUUCUGAUUUUGUCCAGAUCUUGCGAACAAUAAGACCGAGUAGAAAAAUAAAUAUUUUCUUGAGAUGCAGGAACGAUCUUAUGCUUAGUGUAACCAUGGCGGUUAAGCUUUAUGAAUGAUCUUAAUUUGCAAUUAAUGCAUGCGCGGAGUUACUUAUCUGAUUUACUUGUGGUGAUUAUCAAGGUUCUUGGUGAUGAAUCCCAACUGUGCUGAUUUUAGGUUUCCACAGAUUAAAGCUCACCCUUGGCACAAGCAAGUAGAACAUAGUAAUGUUAGCAAAAUGGUGAAGAAAGGAAGCUGGUUUACAGCAAGUAAGAGGCUCUUUGCUCAUAUCUUCAAGGAGAAUGUAGCUAAUAGACCCAGUAGCAUUGAGAAUACUUAGGUGGUUGAAAGGGGGCACCAAGUUACAAAACCUGAGCAACCGAAGGCAACCUAAGGCAGAACCUCCGGCUCCACCUCAGCAACCAAAGACAUAACCUCCUCAUGUACCAAGAACAUAAGAGGGGGAAAGAAUGUUGCGGCUAAUGGAAAUUGAUGAAAAACGCUCUGUUUAAUUCAUCAAUUUCUAAUUUUUACUUCUUUGAAAAAUGCUACAUUGUGCAGAUUUGCAGUACACUUUAGAUUUGCCAUUUUCCAAGAUACAUCGAUGGAUUGAUGAAGUGAGACUUCGAUGGGUGUGCUUUGAACAUAUUUUGGUUGGAUGAAUAAGUGAUUCUUGAGAUUGCAUAUUUUCACUUAAAGUUUGUUAAACUAUUAUUUACUAUUAGUUUGUCCUUUUAUUUUUAUAUUAACCUAUUAUGGUGCUAAUAUACAAAUUUUGUCUGAAUUUGUAUACCUUGCUCCUAUUAAGGUGAUGUAAAGACAAUAUUUGAAAUGGAUGGAUUGUUUUUUUGA
Molecule: long non-coding RNA, 1698 nt
Organism: Chenopodium quinoa (quinoa)
Lineage: Eukaryota; Viridiplantae; Streptophyta; Magnoliopsida; Caryophyllales; Amaranthaceae
Exons: 7
Source: RefSeq, a predicted model, not a curated record